CGGACAUAUCAUAACGAAGAGGUAUCGUAAUUGAAGAGGUUUGGAAAGACCCACCACAGAAGGUAAUAGUCCUGUAUGUUAAACGAGAAGACUUCAGAUAUGAUCCAGAGUACCACGGGACACGUGAAACCCUGUGGGAAGCAGGAGGGACCACCCUCCAAGGCUAAAUACUACCUAGUGACCGAUAGCGUAUAGUACCGUGAGGGAAAGGUGAAAAGAACCCCGGGAGGGGAGUGAAAUAGAACCUGAAACCCUGCACUUACAAGCUGUGGAAGCACAUUUCUUGUGUGACCGCGUACUUUUUGUAGAACGGGCCAACGAGUUACGUUAAGUAGCAAGGUUAAGCACUUAAGGUGCGGAGCCGUAGCGAAAGCGAGUUUUAACUGAGCGUUCAGUUACUUGACGUAGACCCGAAACCGGGCGACCUACCCAUGAGCAGGAUGAAGCGAAAGUAAAAUUUCGUGGAGGUCCGAACCCACGAGCGUUGAAAAGCUCGGGGAUGACUUGUGGGUAGCGGUGAAAUUCCAAUCGAGCCCGGAGAUAGCUGGUUCUCCCCGAAAUAGCUUUAGGGCUAGCCUCAAGGUGAGAGAUACGGAGGUAGAGCACUGAAUGUCCUAGGGGGUAUUGCACCUACCGAAGACUAUCAAACUCCGAAUGCCGUCAUCUUAUACUUGGGAGUCAGACUGUGGGUGAUAAGAUUCAUAGUCGAAAGGGCAACAGCCCAGAUCGUCAGCUAAGGUCCCUAAAUGUAAGUUAAGUGGUAAAGGAUGUGGGAUUGCACAGACAACCAGGAUGUUGGCUUAGAAGCAGCCACUCAUUCAAAGAGUGCGUAAUAGCUCACUGGUCGAGUGAUCCUGCGCCGAAGAUUUCCGGGGCUAAAACUUACUACCGAAGCUACGGCAUCAGUAAUGAUGGGUAGGGGAGCUUCCCAUACGGGUUGAAGCAUGACCGUAAGGACAUGUGGACAGUAUGGGAGUGAGAAUGUUGGCAUGAGUAGCGAGAUGUGGGUGAGAAUCCCACAGGCCGUAAACCCAAGGUUUCCAGGGGAAGGUUCGUCCGCCCUGGGUUAGUCGGGACCUAAGCUGAGGCCGAAAGGCGUAGGUGAUGGACAACAGGUUGAU
This 1121-nucleotide ribosomal RNA is filed under the name Clostridioides difficile. RNAcentral's name for it is "partial 23S ribosomal RNA". It matches the Rfam family "Bacterial large subunit ribosomal RNA", at positions 296 to 1434 of the family's 2925-position model. Lineage: Bacteria; Bacillati; Bacillota; Clostridia; Peptostreptococcales; Peptostreptococcaceae. The record is from RNAcentral.